RNAcentral lists this ribosomal RNA (268 nucleotides) under Escherichia coli. RNAcentral describes it as "partial 16S ribosomal RNA". It matches the Rfam family "Bacterial small subunit ribosomal RNA", at positions 1 to 265 of the family's 1533-position model. Lineage: Bacteria; Pseudomonadati; Pseudomonadota; Gammaproteobacteria; Enterobacterales; Enterobacteriaceae. The record is from RNAcentral.
AAAUUGAAGAGUUUGAUCAUGGCUCAGAUUGAACGCUGGCGGCAGGCCUAACACAUGCAAGUCGAACGGUAACAGGAAGAAGCUUGCUUCUUUGCUGACGAGUGGCGGACGGGUGAGUAAUGUCUGGGAAACUGCCUGAUGGAGGGGGAUAACUACUGGAAACGGUAGCUAAUACCGCAUAACGUCGCAAGACCAAAGAGGGGGACCUUCGGGCCUCUUGCCAUCGGAUGUGCCCAGAUGGGAUUAGCUUGUUGGUGGGGUAACGGCU